AUGACAAGUGACAUCAGCAUCUAUUUGAGCUUGACUACAUGUGGCCAAGCCAACCUGAGACUGGCCAAGUUCAUGCCCGAAAGGAAUCUACUGAUGGUUUUGGAGGUGGAGCAGGAUAUUUGGAGCUGCAGCCCCACAGAAGGUGUAUCUGAAGGGGGAUACACUGUGUGUGAGGGUCAUAGCCAGCAGAUGUAUCUUCAGUUAGGACAAGACAUCAUCAGCAAAAUCUACCCCUUACAAAGCAGGAGGGAAGCUAAAGUUUGUUCCUUCUGA
This 273-nucleotide long non-coding RNA is filed under the name Cyanistes caeruleus (blue tit). RNAcentral describes it as "lncRNA (ENSCCEG00000009051.1)". The record is from RNAcentral. Lineage: Eukaryota; Metazoa; Chordata; Aves; Passeriformes; Paridae.